GACGAACGCUGGCGGCGUGCUUAACACAUGCAAGUCGAACGGUGAAGCUCCAGCUUGCUGGAGUGGAUCAGUGGCGAACGGGUGAGUAACACGUGAGCAACCUGCCCCUGACUCUGGAAUAAGCGCUGGAAACGGCGUCUAAUACUGGAUACGAGAAGGGUCCGCAUGGGCACUUUCUGGAAAGUUUUUCGGUUGGGGAUGGGCUCGCGGCCUAUCAGCUUGUUGGUGAGGUAAUGGCUCACCAAGGCGACGACGGGUAGCCGGCCUGAGAGGGCGACCGGCCACACUGGGACUGAGACACGGCCCAGACUCCUACGGGAGGCAGCAGUGGGGAAUAUUGCACAAUGGGCGAAAGCCUGAUGCAGCGACGCCGCGUGAGGGAUGACGGCCUUCGGGUUGUAAACCUCUUUCAGCACGGAAGAAGCGAGAGUGACGGUACGUGCAGAAGAAGCGCCGGCUAACUACGUG
This 468-nucleotide ribosomal RNA is filed under the name uncultured bacterium. RNAcentral describes it as "partial 16S ribosomal RNA". It matches the Rfam family "Bacterial small subunit ribosomal RNA", at positions 28 to 507 of the family's 1533-position model. The record is from RNAcentral.